This 450-nucleotide ribosomal RNA is filed under the name uncultured bacterium. RNAcentral's name for it is "partial 16S ribosomal RNA". It matches the Rfam family "Bacterial small subunit ribosomal RNA", at positions 354 to 796 of the family's 1533-position model. The record is from RNAcentral.
GUGGGGAAUUUUGGACAAUGGGCGCAAGCCUGAUCCAGCAAUGCCGCGUGCAGGAAGAAGGCCUUCGGGUUGUAAACUGCUUUUGUACGGAACGAAACGGUCCUGGUUAAUACCUGGGGCUAAUGACGGUACCGUAAGAAUAAGCACCGGCUAACUACGUGCCAGCAGCCGCGGUAAUAAGUAGGGUGCGAGCGUUAAUCGGAAUUACUGGGCGUAAAGCGUGCGCAGGCGGUGCUGUAAGACAGGCGUGAAAUCCCCGGGCUCAACCUGGGAAUUGCGCUUGUGACUGCAGUGCUGGAGUACGGCAGAGGGGGAUGGAAUUCCGCGUGUAGCAGUGAAAUGCGUAGAUAUGCGGAGGAACACCGAUGGCGAAGGCAGUCCCCUGGGCCUGUACUGACGCUCAUGCACGAAAGCGUGGGGAGCAAACAGGAUUAGAUACCCUGGUAGUCC